Long non-coding RNA from Spinacia oleracea (spinach), 837 nucleotides. RefSeq lists it as uncharacterized. The transcript has 3 exons. NCBI's taxonomy places the organism in Eukaryota, Viridiplantae, Streptophyta, Magnoliopsida, Caryophyllales, Amaranthaceae. The record is from RefSeq and is a predicted model, not a curated record.
AAAGCCAAAUUACUAUUCUACCAUCAGCCUAAUUUUAUGCAUACUGAAUUCAGAAAAUCUUGAACUCGAGGACGCUCUAAUGGUGGAAUCUACUGCCAACAGCCGCAUCAGAGACCUCGAUAGGCUUCUACUGCGCUCCGGCCACCUAGUUGGACGUAAUUUUGAACCCAGUGCCGAUCGUGUUUGAUAUUUCGGAUAUCUUGAAGCUGCGUAGGAGGAUGGAAGUAGUUUAGAAAUUUGCAAUUGCAUUUCAGAUUAUCUUGGUAUUGGACGAGAGUAUAUUUUCUUGUUGCUGUUAUCUCUCUGCUGAUUCAAGAAAGCGCUUACUAUUGGAGUUCUGCAUUAUUAUUUGGUAGUUUGCAGAUCUAUUUGUUUUUCUUUAUGGAGACUAGUGGGAAUGGGUCCAAAUUUGUGAUACCCAUUCCCAACUAAUGCCCGGAGAAGUUAGUUUCAGAUGUGAUUUAGUUGAGAUUAGCACUGUAUCUGAUAUUAAGUAACAACUAAUUGAAUCCAGACUAAAUCGUGUAUUGCUAGAGGUAGUGGACUUUGUAGAAUGUACUAGUGGAUGCUCCUUCAUAGUGAAGAAGAAACAAGAAUGGCACUAUAAGAAGGACAAUGGAGGUGCUGGAGAAAAAAUAUCCUGUUGAUGCAAAGGACUACAAGUUGUAUGAGGAAGUUGGGGAAGGCGUCAGUGCUACUGUAUACAGGGCUCUUUGUAUUCCUUUUAAUGAGGUAGUUGCUAUUAAGGUUCUUGAUAUGCAGAGAUGCAAUAAUGACUUGGUUCAAGAGAUACACAAACAAUAUGAGAAGAUCAAUGAACUUCUAAGAAAGCUUCAG